UCCAAAUGGCGUUUCGUUUUC
Molecule: non-coding RNA, 21 nt
Filed under: Caenorhabditis elegans
Lineage: Eukaryota; Metazoa; Nematoda; Chromadorea; Rhabditida; Rhabditidae
Source: RNAcentral